This 328-nucleotide ribosomal RNA is filed under the name uncultured Bacteroidota bacterium. RNAcentral's name for it is "bacterial SSU rRNA". It matches the Rfam family "Bacterial small subunit ribosomal RNA", at positions 28 to 351 of the family's 1533-position model. Lineage: Bacteria; Pseudomonadati; Bacteroidota. The record is from RNAcentral.
GAUGAACGCUAGCGGGAGGCUUAACACAUGCAAGUCGAGGGGCAGCACGAGAUAGCAAUAUUUUGGUGGCGACCGGCGCACGGGUGAGUAACGCGUAUGCAACCUACCCUGUACAGGGGGAUAACCCGGAGAAAUUCGGACUAAUACCCCAUAAAGAUAUGAAGAGGCAUCUUUUUAUAUUUAAAGUUCCGGCGGUACGGGAUGGGCAUGCGUAACAUUAGCUAGUUGGCAGGGUAACGGCCUACCAAGGCUACGAUGUUUAGGGGUCCUGAGAGGGUGAUCCCCCACACUGGUACUGAGACACGGACCAGACUCCUACGGGAGGCAG